Molecule: ribosomal RNA, 393 nt
Filed under: uncultured bacterium
Lineage: Bacteria
Description: partial 16S ribosomal RNA
Rfam family: Bacterial small subunit ribosomal RNA
Source: RNAcentral
AUACGGAGGAUCCGAGCGUUAUCCGGAUUUAUUGGGUUUAAAGGGUGCGCAGGCGGGAGAUUAAGUCGGCGGUGAAAUUUUGCAGCUCAACUGUAAAAGUGCCUUCGAAACUGGUUUCCUUGAGUGUAGAUGAAGUAGGCGGAAUUUGUGGUGUAGCGGUGAAAUGCAUAGGUAUCACGAGGAACUCCGAUUGCGCAGGCAGCUUACUAAACUACUACUGACGCUCAGGCACGAAGGCGUGGGGAUCAAACAGGAUUAGAUACCCUGGUAGUCCACGCAGUAAACGAUGAUUACUAGCUGUUUGCGAUACAAUGUAAGCGGCUGAGCGAAAGCGUUAAGUAAUCCACCUGGGGAGUACGUUCGCAAGAAUGAAACUCAAAUGAAUUGACGGGG